GAUCUGCUUAUGUUUGACCAUUCUUCUUUAUUAAACUGCUCUUGACUAGAAAUUGAAACAGAAGAGUGCAUUUUUAUCCCUGUCCAGUCUUGUCCUUUAAAUAUGUUUCCCUAAUCUCCAGAUCCCAUAUUAGUUAUAUAGGCUAACUGCCAAAACCUUCCGAAUAUGACUCAGACCCAGAUAGAGUGAAGUCAGAGGCGUAACUUUAAUCCACAAGGCAAAUAACAAAGUGCAGGUAGGCAGAGGUCGGUACACAGGUAGUCAGAAGGCAGCAGUACAAUCCAGAAUCUGAGAAGGAUAAACGGGAGGCAGGCAGAGAGUUCAGGCGUCAGAAAAUCCGAUGGGCUACGGUACAGAAUCAGAAGGCAGGCAACGAAGUCGGGACAGGCAAAACAGGUCUAUGCUGAAGUCAAUGGACAACAGGGAAAAAUAGGCUCAGUAUGUCGCAGUGUCACAAACAAUACCUCAUGGUGAGAGAAGGAAACAGACAGGCUUAUAUGCACAGGUGGUAAUUGGGAACAGGUGUCUAGAAUUCGGGAGAUUGGGACCCGGAGGAUGUGCUGCGUUCCUUUGGAGGCCCCACACGUUCAUCCAUGUAAAACCGCACAACUUUUAGAUGUUCAUGUUAAUUAUGAAAAAACUUUUGAAAGGACUAAGCAAGUUUCUUGCUUCCUCUUCUUUUCUUGCUUUUCUUUUUUGAAGCACCACUGUUAGUGUUUUUGUUUCACGCUGCCAGCGGCGCCUCAAAAAGUACAGGGGUCCUGUAGAAGCAAUAGAGGACACAGAAGGUUUACAGGUAGGAUGGGAGGUGCCAUAAGACAUUGUUAGAUUGCAGAAUGUUUGAUUUAAGCCUAAAACCUUUGGCUAGCAGAGCUAGAGUAGGAGACAAAGAAAGUAAUUCUGGGAAGAAAUGAGAAUGAUAUCCUGUGUCAAGUCAGAGGCAGGUGUGAAGAGGCAGGUGUGGAGAGGCAGGUGUGAAGAGGCAGGUGUGAAGAGACAGGUGUGGAGAGGCAGGUGUGAAGAGGCAGGUGUGGAGAGGCAGGUGUGAAGAGGCAGGUGUGAAGAGGCAGGUGUAAAGAGGCAGGUGUGAAGAUGUUGGUAGUGCCGUUUAAUUGCAGACUCCUAGUGCUCAAUCUUGCUCACACAGUUUCAUGGGCUGGGGAUUUAUGUAGAAGAAAAAAUCUGGUUAGGAGCAUGAUUUUUUUUGGCAUUCUAUGUUUACUGACACAAAAACAUACUGUAAGUCAUGCCCUAAAAUCACUUAUUGGUUCGAUGCUAUGCUGGGUUAGACCAAACUGACACUUGUCACUCUCACGAUUUUCAAACAUCAACUUUAAUUUGAUUGGAAAAUAUAUACUUAUCAGAAUGCCUUCAUUGGCUUAACAAAAAGCCAUACAUUUUUUACUGAAAUAUAACAGUGGCUUAAAAUGUUCUUCAUGCAUAAAGUUUUGCACAAUUUUCUUGAUGUUGUGAAAAUUAUAUAAUGUACUCCUAUAUCAAGUUAAUAUCAAGUAAAAUAUAAAAAAUUGCAUUUACCUAAGUCAUUUAGCUAAUGCGUUGUUUUAUCCAAAGCAACUUUCAAUUGAGGCUGAGAAUGAUCAUAGCAUAUAACUUCUACAACUACAAACCUGUUUCCAAAGAAGUUGGUAUGCAGCGUUAAACGCAAAUACAAACAGAAUGCAAUGAUGUACAAAUCAUAUCUCCCUAUAUUUAAUUGAAAAUAGUGCAAAGAAAACAUAUCAAAUGUUGAAACUGAGAAAUGUACUUGUUUUUGGAAAAAUACAUGCCCAAAUGUAAUACACAUUUGUAAAUUGUGGUCUGCAUAUUUGCAAUAAUUUAGAAGCAAUUCUGUCUCCAUAGAUAACCAACCCCACCCCUGUGACAAACAACCCUGGUAUGUGAAGUAAUUAGCCAGUGGAAAAUGUGUACUACACAUAUGUUAAUUGUUCGAGCAGUUUAAUUGAAAUUUAUGGAAAUAUCAGUUUGAAAUGUAAGAAUGAGCGGAGAACAGAAGAUUCAAAAACGUUUUGAUAGUUAAAUUAGGGUAUACCCACGUCACCAGGCACCACACCACAGACUUUGCUGGUGUGUAUACAGUUGUACUCAAAAGUUUGCAUACCCUUGGAGAAUUGGUAACAUAUUGUAAAAAAAACACA
Esox lucius (northern pike) is the source of this 2156-nucleotide long non-coding RNA. The record is from Ensembl. NCBI's taxonomy places the organism in Eukaryota, Metazoa, Chordata, Actinopteri, Esociformes, Esocidae.